This is a long non-coding RNA of Peromyscus leucopus (white-footed mouse), 524 nucleotides long. RefSeq lists it as uncharacterized. The record is from RefSeq and is a predicted model, not a curated record. The transcript is spliced from 2 exons. Lineage: Eukaryota; Metazoa; Chordata; Mammalia; Rodentia; Cricetidae.
CCAUGACACUGGAUGAUCCUUUGGAUUCCUGCAACCUGCUCCAAGGAGCACUCUGGCAUGUCCACCACCACUCACCGCUCCAUCCUUCCUGAAAGGAAACUUCUAAGAUCCUGUUUAAUUUCUCCAUUCUCUAAAAUGUCGCUUUAAUACAAAAGAGCCUUUCAAAUUCAUUUACAAGUUCCAUAACAAUGAACUAACAGGAGGAGGAAUGGUGAUAGAUGGAGACCAGAGGAUCAGGAGGCUCAAAAGCUAUCCAUGGCUGUUCAAAGUUCAAGACCAGCCUGGCCUACAUCAGACUGUCUCAAAAAAUACAUACAUAUAAAUAAAAAUUUUAAAUUGAAGAAAAAUCAAAAAUUUUCUAGUGACUAAAAUUUUGGGACAAUAUAUGAACUUUAUACUCUACAGCAGAGCUGCACAGCAUACAUGGAGCCAGGUGUACAAUUUUCAACUUUCUAGUUCACAUGAAAAUGAAAAUUUCCAAUGCCUAAUAAACCAUUUUGUUACUGCUUUGUUUUUGAAGCUGA